GACCCCAAAACMAGGAAGAAUACCCGCUGAACUUAAGCAUAUCAAUAAGCCGAAGAAAAGAAACUAACAAGGAUUCCCCUAGUAACUGGGAGUGAAGCGGGAAAAACUCAAAUUUAAAAUCUGGCGGUCCUUUGGCUGUCCGAGUUGGAAUCC
Molecule: ribosomal RNA, 153 nt
Filed under: uncultured fungus
Lineage: Eukaryota; Fungi
Description: partial 28S ribosomal RNA
Rfam family: Eukaryotic large subunit ribosomal RNA
Source: RNAcentral